UACGUAGGGUGCGAGCGUUAAUCGGAAUUACUGGGCGUAAAGCGUGCGCAGGCGGUUUUGUAAGUCAGAUGUGAAAGCCCCGGGCUCAACCUGGGAAUGGCAUUUGGGACUGCAAGGCUUGAGUGCGGCAGAGGAGACUGGAAUUCCUGGUGUAGCAGUGAAAUGCGUAGAUAUCGGGAGGAACACCAGUGGCGAAGGCGGUUGCCUGGAGCUUUGCUGACGCUGAGGCGCGAAAGCGUGGGGAGCGAUCCGG
This 253-nucleotide ribosomal RNA is filed under the name uncultured bacterium. RNAcentral describes it as "partial 16S ribosomal RNA". It matches the Rfam family "Bacterial small subunit ribosomal RNA", at positions 524 to 776 of the family's 1533-position model. The record is from RNAcentral.